GGUCUUUUACGUCGGCCUUCGCGAGCGUCUGGGCGGGUGGUAGGUGAGUGGGUAUUGCGGGCUAGUAUCCGAGCAAAAGAUGGUGGCGCAGGCCGAGUUAAGAGCUUUAAUCCUGUGAAGACAUCUUAGUGAAGAGUUUAGAGUGCUGAGAGUUGAAAGCUUGCACGUGGGAAACGUGCGGCCGGACUGCCACAUGUACUGAGGUUGAGUCGUGACGGCCACAGGCUCCGAGUUUUGGCGUGAGGAACCGCUGAUCGGCCACGGGCGCCGAACUUGCUGGCCUCCGGCAUGUGCCUGAGCGGCGGCGGAAAAACCACCUUAAUUGGGGCGGAGGGUUAGUUUUAACAGCAAAGGGCCUUUACUAAAAUGGCGAAGGCCUUCCGUCGGCGUUGUUUUAAAAUGGGAAGCCUCGACCCUGUAUUGAAACUGAGCUGUUCGAAGGCGGCGUUGUGUGCAAUUCGGAUUAAUGAAGGGGAAGGGUUUUGUGUGGAAAAACGCCUUGGAGUGUGACAUUUCUGCGAGAAUGCUUAAAUACCGAUUUCCCGCAGGAACAAUGGCGCUGUCUUCAGUGGCACAGUGGAGCAGCUCUGAAGAUGCAAAGAUACACGAAAAAACUUCCAGAACAUCUGGGAGAAUAUUUAAUGGAAAAUCGCUUGGUUAAAACCUGACACUUUUAACAGUGAACAGCGUUCUGAGUGUGGACGAGUAGCCAGUGAAGAUAAUGAAUGUCGAAUGUGACUGACUAGCAGCUUCAUUUUGAAUGAGGGUCGCUGUCUGCCCAUUGAUAGAGGCCAGAUUGUCUUGGAAGUUCCAAAGUUGCAACGAUUUCUGGCUAGUGCCACGAGGUUUACUUGACUGUUGUGUGAAAAGCUGAUAAGAAAACCAUCCAGAAAAAAGCUCUUCGUUUUACAAACAUGAAAAUAAAACAUGUAAUUUUGGAUUAUGUUCCUUUUUGUUAUUACUUUUAAAUAGGUCCUGAAAUAACAUGGGGAGCAUUAAAUGGAAAAUCCACUAACCAGCCUUGUAAUCAAA
RNAcentral lists this long non-coding RNA (1032 nucleotides) under Homo sapiens (human). RNAcentral describes it as "non-protein coding SNHG5:2". The record is from RNAcentral. Lineage: Eukaryota; Metazoa; Chordata; Mammalia; Primates; Hominidae.